GUAAAAACAACAUAAAGUGGUGCAUCGUAAUGCACAGCAGGAUGGAGGGGUAUAAGGUAGAAGCACAUUGUCAAGUUCUGGUUUGUUUGGGAGUGGCGGGCCGGGUACCCUUGCUGGAUAGCGCCUCUCCGGUGGUGGCUGGGCCCGGGAUGUUCCAGGUUGUGCUGUGUUGUUCCAUUUGUGUUGCGGGUAGGUCCAGUAUCUUCCGCUGCCCAUUGGGUUCGUUUCUGCAGGUAUUUCCAUGGAUCUGAUAUUUUUGAAGUGGGAUUCUUAUUAAGUAAACUCUCUUUUCUCUGAUGGGUGAGUAUCUCAAAUGUCUCUGUGCAAAUGGCUUGGGCUGGGUUCUUCAUCUGUUUUACUACUUUAGCAUCUUGCCAUUCUAACAUUAUCUCUUCUUCCUAGGCUUUAAGUGACACAGUCGUUGUCAUUUUGGCUUUCUCUAUGUUGCUCUUGUGUUCAAGGAACCCCACUUCAAAAAUACCAGAUGCAUGGAAGUGUACCUACUGCAACAAACUGAAUUGGCAGCAGAAGAUACUGGACCUACCUGCAACUCAGAUGGAACAGUCCAGCAUCUCUAAAUAAACCAGGACUUGAUAAUGUGCUUCUACUUUAUAUUUUUCUAUUUUGUUAUGCAUUACGAUAUUUUAUAUUGUUUUAUUCUCUUAGAUUUAUAUGUUUUUUUUCUAUGUUUAAGAUUAUUUAGUAUUAUUUAUUGGUUUAUAUAGUAUCAUUUAUUUACUCUAUUGUGAUAUUAUUUAUUUUCUGUGUUACGGUGUAUAUACCUAAAGUUCUGUUAAAAAAUUUUUAUAAAGCAUUUGUAAAAAAGUUUAUCGAACAGUGUUCCCACAGCAACAAGGAACAGUCUGCCUGUUAGCUUGUUGGAUUGUUCUAUGAUAUUUGGAUAUUUGAAAUUGUUGUAGCCUGAGAAGGGUGGCUGAGUAACACUGAAAACAUUAGCAUUGAGUUAAUAAAAGACCGCUAUUUAAUCCGUAACUGCCAAGUAGUGUUAUAUAUAGACUAGUUAAUGUUAUAGCAAUGAUUAAGCAGUGGUUAUCUGAGAGUUUUAUGGAUGUGUGCUAUAUUUUUAAAAUUCUCUACUCAUUCUAAUAUGUUAUUCUAUUUUUUGUAAUAUUCUGUAAACUUGUAUAUCAUAAU
RNAcentral lists this long non-coding RNA (1155 nucleotides) under Androctonus crassicauda. Lineage: Eukaryota; Metazoa; Arthropoda; Arachnida; Scorpiones; Buthidae. The record is from RNAcentral.